UACGUAGGGUGCGAGCGUUAAUCGGAAUUACUGGGCGUAAAGCGUGCGCAGGCGGUGACCCAGUCAGAUGUGAAAUCCCGGCGUACUACGGACGUAGCAUUGUAACUACGGUCGGCUAGAGUAUGGCGACGAGGGGGGUAGGAAUUACCACGUGUAGCAGUGAAUAGCGUAGAGAUGUGGAGGAAUACCGAUGGCGAAGGCAGCCCCUCGGGUCGAUACUG
This 221-nucleotide ribosomal RNA is filed under the name uncultured bacterium. RNAcentral describes it as "partial 16S ribosomal RNA". It matches the Rfam family "Bacterial small subunit ribosomal RNA", at positions 524 to 742 of the family's 1533-position model. The record is from RNAcentral.